RNAcentral lists this small nucleolar RNA (110 nucleotides) under Dipodomys ordii (Ord's kangaroo rat). RNAcentral describes it as "Small nucleolar RNA SNORA31 (ENSDORG00000022898.2)". The record is from RNAcentral. Lineage: Eukaryota; Metazoa; Chordata; Mammalia; Rodentia; Heteromyidae.
UCAAACCCUAGUACCGCCAAAAAAAUAAUGGUACUAGGAUAUAAAAGAAAAUAAACCCAGUGUUUUCUGUCUGUCUUUUAGCAGCCCAGAUUGAGUUAAGAAAUGUAUCA